GUCAGGUUGUAUUUAAAGGUGCUCUUCAUGCAUCAGGUUUGCAUGCGUAUAAAAUGUACAUAUUCUUGGAGUUGGCAUUGGAUAUGAGUAGGAAGAAAAUUUAUUUUUCGUUACCUUCUGCCUCUACAACAUUCCUGUAUAGCUUGAUAUUGGUAAAAGAAGCUGCCGUGCGUUUGGUAUGGUGCAUGAUUGUUUAUUGACAGACUGUCAGUAGCAGCCAUGCCUACAUGUGUAGUAUAGCAUUGAUGGC
Pelobates cultripes (western spadefoot toad) is the source of this 250-nucleotide non-coding RNA. The record is from the annotation of a GenBank genome assembly. Lineage: Eukaryota; Metazoa; Chordata; Amphibia; Anura; Pelobatidae.